This is a non-coding RNA of Oryza barthii, 207 nucleotides long. The record is from Rfam. NCBI's taxonomy places the organism in Eukaryota, Viridiplantae, Streptophyta, Magnoliopsida, Poales, Poaceae.
AAAAAGACAAACCCUGGAUUUCCAUGUCUAACGUUUGACUGUCCGUCUUAUAUGAAAUUUUUUUAUAAUUAGUAUUUUUAUUGUUGUUAGAUGAUAAAACAUGAUUAGUACUUUAUGCGUGACUUAUCUUUUUAAUUUUUUUCAUAAUUUUUUUAAAUAAGACGGACGGUCAAACGUUGGACACAGAAACCUAGGGUUUGUCUUUUU